GAUGAACGCUGGCGGCGUGCCUAAUACAUGCAAGUCGAGCGAACAGACGAGGAGCUUGCUCCUCUGAUGUUAGCGGCGGACGGGUGAGUAACACGUGGAUAACCUACCUAUAAGACUGGGAUAACUUCGGGAAACCGGAGCUAAUACCGGAUAAUAUUUUGAACCGCAUGGUUCAAUAGUGAAAGACGGUCUUGCUGUCACUUAUAGAUGGAUCCGCGCUGCAUUAGCUAGUUGGUAAGGUAACGGCUUACCAAGGCAACGAUGCGUAGCCGACCUGAGAGGGUGAUCGGCCACACUGGAACUGAGACACGGUCCAGACUCCUACGGGAGGCAGCAGUAGGGAAUCUUCCGCAAUGGGCGAAAGCCUGACGGAGCAACGCCGCGUGAGUGAUGAAGGUCUUCGGAUCGUAAAACUCUGUUAUUAGGGAAGAACAAAUGUGUAAGUAACUGUGCACGUCUUGACGGUACCUAAUCAGAAAGCCACGGCUAACUACGUG
Molecule: ribosomal RNA, 497 nt
Filed under: uncultured bacterium
Lineage: Bacteria
Description: partial 16S ribosomal RNA
Rfam family: Bacterial small subunit ribosomal RNA
Source: RNAcentral